AUAAAUUCAAACAUGUUUAUUCAAGAGUGUUUUGAUGAGAUAGUGCGGAUUUCUUUUAACUUAACUAAGAUCAUUUGAUUUCUGAUUUGAGCAUGCAAUAAAGUUAAAAUUCUUAGAUUAAAGACUCCUCAACAUCUACAAUUAUAUUCCAUCUGAAAAAACAUCUACAAUUUUAACUCCCUUUUAUAUUUAAAAUUCUCCAUGAAAUCUUAAUUAGGGCUCUAUUACACUUUGUCCCACCUUGAGUAUAAUGAGGUCACGCUGAGCUCCACCUUCAACAUCUCUAACUCAGCCGAGUCAUCAACAUCACACUGAGCUCCACCUUCAACAUGUCUAGCUCAGUUGGGUCAUCCAGGUCACACUGAGCUCCACCCUCAACAUGCAUGGCUCAGCUCGAUUAUUCAUGUCAUGCUCGCCCUGUGGUCCUUGAACAAGUGUUUCAUGGCUUGCCACGUGUCAUGUACA
Molecule: long non-coding RNA, 465 nt
Filed under: Trifolium pratense (red clover)
Lineage: Eukaryota; Viridiplantae; Streptophyta; Magnoliopsida; Fabales; Fabaceae
Description: long non-coding RNA (TPRA_LNC006663)
Source: RNAcentral